This 943-nucleotide ribosomal RNA is filed under the name uncultured bacterium. RNAcentral's name for it is "bacterial SSU rRNA". It matches the Rfam family "Bacterial small subunit ribosomal RNA", at positions 52 to 985 of the family's 1533-position model. The record is from RNAcentral.
CACAUGCAAGUCGAGGGGAGACGACAUCGAAAGCUUGCUUUUGAUGGGCGUCGACCGGCGCACGGGUGAGUAACGCGUAUCCAACCUGCCCACCACAUGGGGAUAACCUUGCGAAGGUAAGACUAAUACCCAAUGAUAUCUCUAGAAGACAUCUGAAGGAGAUUAAAGAUUUAUCGGUGAUGGAUGGGGAUGCGUCUGAUUAGCUUGUUGGCGGGGUAACGGCCCACCAAGGCUACGAUCAGUAGGGGUUCUGAGAGGAAGGUCCCCCACAUUGGAACUGAGACACGGUCCAAACUCCUACGGGAGGCAGCAGUGAGGAAUAUUGGUCAAUGGACGAGAGUCUGAACCAGCCAAGUAGCGUGCAGGAUGACGGCCCUAUGGGUUGUAAACUGCUUUUAUAAGGGAAUAAAGUGAGUCUCGUGAGACUUUUUGCAUGUACCUUAUGAAUAAGGACCGGCUAAUUCCGUGCCAGCAGCCGCGGUAAUACGGAAGGUCCGGGCGUUAUCCGGAUUUAUUGGGUUUAAAGGGAGCGUAGGCCGGAGAUUAAGCGUGUUGUGAAAUGUAGAUGCUCAACAUCUGCACUGCAGCGCGAACUGGUUUCCUUGAGUACGCACAAAGUGGGCGGAAUUCGUGGUGUAGCGGUGAAAUGCUUAGAUAUCACGAAGAACUCCGAUUGCGAAGGCAGCUCACUGGAGCGCAACUGACGCUGAAGCUCGAAAGUGCGGGUAUCGAACAGGAUUAGAUACCCUGGUAGUCCGCACGGUAAACGAUGGAUGCCCGCUGUUGGUCUGAAUAGGUCAGCGGCCAAGCGAAAGCAUUAAGCAUCCCACCUGGGGAGUACGCCGGCAACGGUGAAACUCAAAGGAAUUGACGGGGGCCCGCACAAGCGGAGGAACAUGUGGGUUAAUUCGAUGAUACGCGAGGAACCUUACCCGGGCUUGAA